ACUAAAAUUAGAAUGAUACAGAGAUUAGCAUGGCCCCUGUACAAGGAUGACACAAAUUCAUGAAGCAUUCCAUAUUUUA
RNAcentral lists this small nuclear RNA (79 nucleotides) under Sus scrofa (pig). The record is from RNAcentral. Lineage: Eukaryota; Metazoa; Chordata; Mammalia; Artiodactyla; Suidae.